This 417-nucleotide ribosomal RNA is filed under the name uncultured bacterium. RNAcentral's name for it is "bacterial SSU rRNA". It matches the Rfam family "Bacterial small subunit ribosomal RNA", at positions 506 to 921 of the family's 1533-position model. The record is from RNAcentral.
AGCCAGCAGCCGCGGUAAGACAGAGGGUGCAAACGUUGCUCGGAAUCACUGGGCGUAAAGGGCGUGUAGGCGGAUCGGCAAGUCGGGCGUGAAAUCCCUGGGCUCAACCCAGGAACUGCACUCGAAACUGCCUUUCUUGAGUGCCGGAGAGGAAAGCGGAAUACCUGGUGUAGAGGUGAAAUUCGUAGAUAUCAGGUGGAACACCAGUGGCGAAGGCGGCUUUCUGGACGGUAACUGACGCUGAGACGCGAAAGCGUGGGGAGCAAACAGGAUUAGAUACCCUGGUAGUCCACGCUGUAAACGAUGAGUGCUAGGUGUCGUGGGUAUUGACCCCUGCGGUGCCGUAGCUAACGCAUUAAGCACUCCGCCUGGGAAGUACGGUCGCAAGACUAAAACUUAAAGGAAUUGGCGGGGGAC